UUUUCCAUUUGUUCAUGUGUGAUAACUGAUAAGACAUGUUUAGAAAUUACAGCGCAGUGACUUUGAUUUAUGUUAUAACAAUGUCGACUGUAGUAAAUGCAGGUCCAUGUUCUUCUUCAGGUAUUCAUAAUGAAUUCCACACAUCACGACUUCCCGAACUAAAUUUAGAUAACGGUGCAGAACAAGUUACAGAAAAAAAACGUAAACGCUGUUGCCCGUAUAACUUUGACGGAAAACUUUGUCGUAAUGUGGGAAAUAGAAUUUUGUGUGGCUAUAAUAUAAAUAUUGGAAGCCCAAAUGUUGAUAGCGAAGACAUCAAUUUAAAUAAUGGUUGCCGAUUAAAACAGGGUAGAUUAGAAUGUGGCUAUGAUGAACCGCCUUACAUAAACUUUCGCAGACCUCCGUCUUGGGAUAAUGCUGUCCAACCUAAGAUAUCUAAAGAAGACGGAGAUAUCAUAUCAAAAGAAUCAACAUUACUUCAUAAAAAGCUAUAUUUAAAAACCACUAUUGCACCGAAACCAACUACACAAUGUCUUGAAAUAAGGGAACGUAUUGUAUGUAGAAGUAUAUAAUUAAAGUGAAUAUUUAAAUCCA
Long non-coding RNA from Pararge aegeria (speckled wood butterfly), 594 nucleotides. RefSeq lists it as uncharacterized. The transcript has 2 exons. NCBI's taxonomy places the organism in Eukaryota, Metazoa, Arthropoda, Insecta, Lepidoptera, Nymphalidae. The record is from RefSeq and is a predicted model, not a curated record.